RNAcentral lists this ribosomal RNA (228 nucleotides) under Blautia faecis. RNAcentral describes it as "partial 23S ribosomal RNA". It matches the Rfam family "Bacterial large subunit ribosomal RNA", at positions 1177 to 1412 of the family's 2925-position model. Lineage: Bacteria; Bacillati; Bacillota; Clostridia; Lachnospirales; Lachnospiraceae. The record is from RNAcentral.
GGGGCUGAAACGUACCACCGAAACUAAGGGAUCCGCAAGGAUCGGUAGAGGAGCAUUGCAUGCGGAAGGAAGCAGUACCGUAAGGAGCUGUGGACUGCAUGGAAGAGAGAAUGCCGGAAUGAGUAGCGAGAUAAAGGUGAGAAUCCUUUAGGCCGAAUAUCCAAGGUUUCCAGGGUAAAGCUGAUCUGCCCUGGGUAAGUCGGGGCCUAAGGCGAGGACGAGAGUCGU